UCUAUGGCGAGUUUGAUCCUGGCUCAGAGCGAACGCUGGCGGCGUACUUAACACAUGCAAGUCGAACGAGGAUCGUCGGGUUAGCAAUAAUUCGGCGGUCCUAGUGGCGUACGGGUGAGUAACACGUGGGUAACCUGCCCUCGAGUCCGGGAUACCCUCUCGAAAGGGAGGCUAAUACUGGAUACGUUCCCUGGGUCGCAAGACCUGGGGAGGAAAGGUGGCGAAAGCUGCCGCUCUUGGAGGGGCUCGCGGCCUAUCAGCUAGUUGGUGAGGUAACGGCUCACCAAGGCGAUGACGGGUAGCUGGUCUGAGAGGACGACCAGCCACACGGGAACUGAGACACGGUCCCGACUCCUACGGGAGGCAGCAGUGGGGAAUUUUCCGCAAUGGGCGAAAGCCUGACGGAGUGACGCCGC
RNAcentral lists this ribosomal RNA (416 nucleotides) under Candidatus Rokuibacteriota bacterium. Its description in RNAcentral is "bacterial SSU rRNA". It matches the Rfam family "Bacterial small subunit ribosomal RNA", at positions 1 to 400 of the family's 1533-position model. Lineage: Bacteria; Candidatus Rokuibacteriota. The record is from RNAcentral.